AGAGAGGAAUGCUAUGAUCUGCACUCUGUUAAACUUGCUAUUGUGAUUAUGAUAUAGAUUCCACUGAGGCUGCAGCCCUUAAUAUCACAGUUCCCUGAUUUAUUAAGAAUCUAGGGUAAAACUUCACCUGGCUCCUCCUGAGCCUCUGAUAUGUUUUUCACUGUAGACUCUGUUAAUUUUGUUACUCUGUAUAUUUCCUUUGUUCUGCCUACUUGGAAGCUCAAAAUGAAAUGUGCAACUAGGCUGUAGCAAUUGUACAGAACAUUAUAUUAGGCAUUGGAUGUACUGAACCUUCCUUUUAUUUUUAGUAUAUACUUAUUUCACUUCAUUUUUAAUUUUUCUUAAUUUUUUAUUGUGUUUAUUGAAUGUAUCUCUAAGGUACCUGAAAUCCUAUUUUGAAAUAAGGAAGAUCUACAUAGAAAUAAAUUUGGGGCCUAUGUA
Long non-coding RNA from Lutra lutra (Eurasian river otter), 441 nucleotides. RefSeq lists it as uncharacterized. The record is from RefSeq and is a predicted model, not a curated record. Lineage: Eukaryota; Metazoa; Chordata; Mammalia; Carnivora; Mustelidae. The transcript is spliced from 2 exons.